Molecule: unclassified non-coding RNA, 1854 nt
Filed under: Leishmania donovani
Lineage: Eukaryota; Euglenozoa; Kinetoplastea; Trypanosomatida; Trypanosomatidae
Description: gene:LdHU3.28.0660(CDS-product:hypothetical_prote in_conserved)
Source: RNAcentral
CGCAUCUGAAUGAUCGGCAGAGCCGUAGGUCAGAACAGCGCCAUUGCACGCAUCGACAGCAAGCCCUAUAGAUUACUCCACGGAAAGACAAGGGCCCGUCAGAGACGGAGCAUACACGGGCCACCACACACACACACACACGCACACGCACAAACAAAAAAAAGAAACGGCUUGCUGAUCGAUACGCAGCCGGCGUGGUGCGUUCGUCUUCCCAUCGGAAAGCCUCGAGUGCGCCUCACAACUCGCAUACAUUACACCCUCGCUUAAAGAUAAAGGAUAAACCAGAGACGGGGUGGGUGCCGCGUGUUCUCGCGCGCCGUAGAUCUUGCGGUGAGCUUCCUAUAAUGAUCCGCAAGAUCAGCUCACACAAGACGCAUCCAGGCACAAAGACACAGCUCAUCGACCCUCCUUCCCCCGUUUCCCUCUCAUAGCCACUGCACAUUGAAGCUUCGAAUGGAGUACAAGGGCAACGCCCUCUCGCCAGUGGAUGCGGAGAUCAGCAUCCGGCAACUGCGCUCCUUCUCUAUGGAGGAGGUCGGUACGUCUUCCUGGAAGGAUCAGCGUGAGGCGAUUGAGCGGCUGAAUAUGUGCACGCACAGCAACGCCAUGCAGAAGACGGACGACUUUGUGAAGUCGUUCCUUCUGGAGCACGACAAGCUUGGCGACGUCCUGCACGAGUUGCUUCUGAUGGAGGUGUGGAGGCAGCGAGUGCUUCCAGGCGUUGUCGAAGCCGUCACGCACAACCCGACGGCGACUUACAUGUACUGUUCCUACGAAUCAGUGCUCGUGAACCUGCUGGAGUGUAUUUGCUUCUACGAGGAGGUGGUGGCUGGUUUCGGCGAUGAUGUGCUGGAGCUGAUUGACUACUGCUGGCGCCAGGUGGUUCGUCUCUUCUCCGAGAAGAGCAUUGGCGAGGUGCCGAUUGCGGCGGCGAAGGAGAGCCCGCUUGCGUACCUGGAGCAGCAGCUGAGGGAGCAGCGCAUUCAGCGCGCCAUGGGGUGCAUCUCUUUGCUGUGGUUCGUCACGGAUCGACUGGAGGCGCUGCCUCUGUCGGCCAUGAACAGCAUCUUGCGUAAAAACGAUAUCCCUUUCGGCUUGGCAGAGGUGCUGCUACUCCAGCCGUGGCUGCGCCGCUCAGCCGGCGUGGUGCAGAAGUUCCACAAAGGGGCUUUCGUUGUCGCGCCAGGGAACGAGUCGGAGCGGGUAUGCGUGCCGGAGGCGCAUGCGUGGUUCUGCAUGCACAAACUUCUGUGCGAUGCCGAGUGUCGCAGGCAGUAUCAGUACACACAGAACAAGAAGGCCACGCUGCUGCGCGUUCGCUCUCUGCUGAAUGAGACACUGCUGGAUCAACUGCCCGCGCUGCAAGAUGUGCAGCGCGCGCUCGAGGAGCUGUCGUUCAUGGAGCCGCCGACCGGCACCGAAGAAAAGUUCCGUAGCACCCUGGUCAUAGAGCAGGUGCCUCGGCUAAUGUCGGCCAUUGACCUACCCAGUGCGGAUUGGGCCGCGCAGGUGGAAAGGAUGAAGCGACUGCUCUCUGACCGUAGCGAGGCAGUCAGUGACGCCGUGCGCAUGUCUCAACUGUUUGACCUCAUGUUUGCCGAUCACCAUUGAGCUUCAUGUGCGUGGGUAUAGGUGUGCGCACGUGCACAACAGAAAACGAAGAAAAAAGGGGCGAGAGUUGGAGGGCGUUGCGGUCUCCUGGACCUCCCCAACGCUUUCCUGUUGCGUAAGAGAGGGCGACUGUUGUCUUGCGGAAUGAUGUAUAGACCUUUUUGUGUGUCGUCGUACGUAAAGCGAAACCGUACUGAAGAGGGAAAAGCUGCUUGUGUGCAAUGCUGGUCAUCGAAGACGAUU